AUUGAACGCUGGCGGCAUGCCUUACACAUGCAAGUCGAACGGCAGCACGGGAGCAAUCCUGGUGGCGAGUGGCGAACGGGUGAGUAAUAUAUCGGAACGUGCCCAGUCGUGGGGGAUAACGUAGCGAAAGUUACGCUAAUACCGCAUACGAUCUAUGGAUGAAAGCGGGGGAUCGCAAGACCUCGCGCGAUUGGAGCGGCCGAUAUCAGAUUAGGUAGUUGGUGGGGUAAAGGCUCACCAAGCCGACGAUCUGUAGCUGGUCUGAGAGGACGACCAGCCACACUGGGACUGAGACACGGCCCAGACUCCUACGGGAGGCAGCAGUGGGGAAUUUUGGACAAUGGGCGCAAGCCUGAUCCAGCAAUGCCGCGUGCAGGAAGAA
This 382-nucleotide ribosomal RNA is filed under the name uncultured bacterium. RNAcentral describes it as "bacterial SSU rRNA". It matches the Rfam family "Bacterial small subunit ribosomal RNA", at positions 30 to 412 of the family's 1533-position model. The record is from RNAcentral.